UACGAAGGGGGCUAGCGUUGCUCGGAAUCACUGGGCGUAAAGCGCACGUAGGCGGGGCGUUAAGUCAGGGGUGAAAUCCUGGAGCUCAACUCCAGAACUGCCCUUGAUACUGGCGAUCUCGAGUUCGGGAGAGGUGAGUGGAACUGCGAGUGUAGAGGUGAAAUUCGUAGAUAUUCGCAAGAACACCAGUGGCGAAGGCGGCUCACUGGCCCGGUACUGACGCUGAGGUGCGAAAGCGUGGGGAGCAAACAGG
This 253-nucleotide ribosomal RNA is filed under the name uncultured bacterium. RNAcentral describes it as "partial 16S ribosomal RNA". It matches the Rfam family "Bacterial small subunit ribosomal RNA", at positions 524 to 776 of the family's 1533-position model. The record is from RNAcentral.